AACAAUAAAGGCGACAGCUGUGAGUGUGAAGAUUAAACAUACAGAGGAGGAGAUGAUGCAAAUGAAAUUUUUGAACAAAUACAAGAGAUGCCAUUGUUGGUGAGAGUGACGGCUGCACAGCUCUUGUGGAGACAGUGUCCCAUGUUCCUUUGAGGAUGCUCUUCCUCAAGAGACACCGGGGCAUGAGAAAAUUCCAUGAAGGCUGGAUUAUCCCAAGAAAACAAAACAGGACAAUUGGCAAAAAGUGGCUGGUCAUGCCGGGUUCCAGAAAUUGAUUUCUGCUCCAGUGAAACUGCGUUGGAGGUUAGAAGAAGGAGAAGCAGACAGGCUCGCUCUCCGCACUCAGUUUACUGAAACCAACUCUGAAAGCACAUUAAUAAACGCUCACUUCCAUGAUUGUUACUUCCCAAGAUGACAGGGUGCCUUUGGUAAUGAGUGUAGUCAUUGGAGAAAGCCCCAUGCAUUUAUAAUAAAUAAACCUAUUAUAAUAUAGAACAACUUUACAGAAAAGAAACAGUUGUAUUAAAAGCCCUCAAGAUGUCCCAAAGCACUUUAUAGCCAAUUAAGUAUUAUUUUGUAAUGUAGGAAACAGUUGUAAUGUAGGAAACACAACAGCCAAUUUGUUCACAGUAAACCUGCUGACACAGCAAGGCCAGGAUGAUCACUGGGUUUUACUGAUGAUAGUUGAGCACUAAGAUUGACAAGCACACGAGGAAAAAUUGCCUCACUGUUUUCCAAAACAAUAACGUGAGAUUUUUAAAAAAUGUCCACACAAGGUGGUCAAUGAGCUCAAUCGAAAAGCAGCACCUUUGACCAUGCAGCACUCCUUCAGUACCAUCCUGGGAUGUUUACUAACAGAUUAAUCUCAAGUAGCUGGACUGGGAAAAUCCGGUCAAAGUCUUAAGUUAUGAUCAAAACAAAUUAUUCUGCUCAACAUUUCAGGAUCUUGUUCACACAACUUUUCCCUUUGGCUUGCACCGCACCCAAACAUUUCUGUUUGUCUUUGCCUUUUAAUUAAAAUAUUCGCUACUGGU
Long non-coding RNA from Hemiscyllium ocellatum (epaulette shark), 1034 nucleotides. RefSeq lists it as uncharacterized. The record is from RefSeq and is a predicted model, not a curated record. Lineage: Eukaryota; Metazoa; Chordata; Chondrichthyes; Orectolobiformes; Hemiscylliidae. The transcript is spliced from 4 exons.